AGCGAACGCUGGCGGCAGGCCUAACACAUGCAAGUCGAACGAACCUUUCGGGGUUAGUGGCGGACGGGUGAGUAACACGUGGGAACGUGCCUUUAGGUUCGGAAUAACUCAGGGAAACUUGUGCUAAUACCGAAUGUGCCCUUCGGGGGAAAGAUUUAUCGCCUUUAUAGCGGCCCGCGUCUGAUUAGCUAGUUGGUUGAGGUAAUGGCUCACCAAGGCGACGAUCAGUAGCUGGUCUGAGAGGAUGAUCAGCCACAUUGGGACUGAGACACGGCCCAAACUCCUACGGGAGGCAGCAGUGGGGAAUCUUGCGCAAUGGGCGAAAGCCUGACGCAGCCAUGCCGCGUGAAUGAUGAAGGUCUUAGGAUUGUAAAAUUCUUUCACCGGGGACGAUAAUGACGGUACCCGGAGAAGAAGCCCCGGCUAACUUCGUG
Molecule: ribosomal RNA, 434 nt
Filed under: uncultured bacterium
Lineage: Bacteria
Description: partial 16S ribosomal RNA
Rfam family: Bacterial small subunit ribosomal RNA
Source: RNAcentral